CUGAGUACGGCGGAACACGUGAAAUUCCGUCGGAAUCCGGGAGGACCAUCUCCCAAGGCUAAAUACUCCCUAGUGACCGAUAGUGAACCAGUACCGUGAGGGAAAGGUGAAAAGCACCCCGGAAGGGGAGUGAAACAGUUCCUGAAACCGUGUGCCUACAAGUAGUUAGAGCCCGUUAAUGGGUGAUAGCGUGCCUUUUGUAGAAUGAACCGGCGAGUUACGAUUUGUUGCAAGGUUAAGCGGAAAAAGCGGAGCCGUAGCGAAAGCGAGUCUGAAUAGGGCGCAUAAGUAACAGGUCGUAGACCCGAAACCAGGUGAUCUACCCAUGUCCAGGAUGAAGGUAAGGUAAUACUUACUGGAGGUCCGAACCCACGCACGUUGAAAAGUGCGGGGAUGAGGUGUGGGUAGCGGAGAAAUUCCAAUCGAACUUGGAGAUAGCUGGUUCUCUCCGAAAUAGCUUUAGGGCUAGCCUCGAGGUAAAGAGUCAUGGAGGUAGAGCACUGUUUGGACUAGGGGCCCUUCUCGGGUUACCGAAUUCAG
Molecule: ribosomal RNA, 540 nt
Filed under: Listeria monocytogenes
Lineage: Bacteria; Bacillati; Bacillota; Bacilli; Caryophanales; Listeriaceae
Description: partial 23S ribosomal RNA
Rfam family: Bacterial large subunit ribosomal RNA
Source: RNAcentral